AACGAACGCUGGCGGCGCGUUUUAAGCAUGCAAGUCGAACGGGAUCCUGAGUGCUUGCACUUGGGUGAGAGUGGCGAACGGGUGAGUAACGCGUAGGUGAUCUACCCUGAAGUUGGGGAUAGCCCAUGGAAACAUGGGGUAAUACCGAAUAUACUGCAUAAUUUUGUUUAUGCAGGAAAGGAGCGUUUGCUUCGCUUUGGGAUGAGCCUGCGUAUGAUUAGCUAGUUGGUAGGGUAAUGGCCUACCAAGGCGACGAUCAUUAGCCGGCCUGAGAGGGUGACCGGCCACAUUGGGACUGAGACACGGCCCAGACUCCUACGGGAGGCAGCAGCUAAGAAUCUUCCGCAAUGGACGCAAGUCUGACGGAGCGACGCCGCGUGUGCGAAGAAUGUCGAGAGAUUUGUAAAGCACUUUAUAUGUGAGGAAUAAGCGUGUCAGGAAUGGGCAUGUGAUGACGUUAGC
Molecule: ribosomal RNA, 462 nt
Filed under: uncultured bacterium
Lineage: Bacteria
Description: bacterial SSU rRNA
Rfam family: Bacterial small subunit ribosomal RNA
Source: RNAcentral